This 406-nucleotide ribosomal RNA is filed under the name uncultured bacterium. RNAcentral's name for it is "partial 16S ribosomal RNA". It matches the Rfam family "Bacterial small subunit ribosomal RNA", at positions 30 to 526 of the family's 1533-position model. The record is from RNAcentral.
AUUGAACGCUGGCGGCAGGCCUAACACAUGCAAGUCGAGCGAGUGGCGGAUGGGUGAGUAAUGUCUGGGAAACUGCCUGAUGGAGGGGGAUAACUACUGGAAACGGUAGCUAAUACUGCAUACCAUCAGAUGUGCCCAUAUGGGAUUAGCUUGUAGGUGAGGUAACGGCUCACCUAGGCGACGAUCCCUAGCUGGUCUGAUAGGAUGACCAGCCACACUGGAACUGAGACACGGUCAAGACUCCUACGGGAGGCAGCAGUGGGAAAUAUUGCACAAUGGGCGAAAGCCUGAUGCAGCCAUGCCGCGUGUAUGAAGAAGGCCUUCGGGUUGUAAAGUACUUUCAGCGAGGAGGCGUUACCCGCAGAAGAAGCGCCGGCUAACUCCGUGCCAGCAGCCGCGGUAAUAC